RNAcentral lists this ribosomal RNA (468 nucleotides) under uncultured bacterium. RNAcentral's name for it is "partial 16S ribosomal RNA". It matches the Rfam family "Bacterial small subunit ribosomal RNA", at positions 28 to 507 of the family's 1533-position model. The record is from RNAcentral.
GACGAACGCUGGCGGCGGGCUUAACACAUGCAAGUCGAACGGAAAGGCCCUGCUUUUGUGGGGUGCUCGAGUGGCGAACGGGUGAGUAACACGUGAGUAACCUGCCCUUGACUUUGGGAUAACUUCAGGAAACUGGGGCGAAUACCGGAUAGGAGCUCCUGCUGCAUGGUGGGGGUUGGAAAGUUUCGGCGGUUGGGGAUGGACUCGCGGCUUAUCAGCUUGUUGGUGGGGUAGUGGCUUACCAAGGCUUUGACGGGUAGCCGGCCUGAGAGGGUGACCGGCCACAUUGGGACUGAGAUACGGCCCAGACUCCUACGGGAGGCAGCAGUGGGGAAUAUUGCACAAUGGGCGGAAGCCUGAUGCAGCAACGCCGCGUGCGGGAUGACGGCCUUCGGGUUGUAAACCGCUUUCGCCUGUGACGAAGCGUGAGUGACGGUAAUGGGUAAAGAAGCACCGGCUAACUACGUG